AACACUGGGUGGCGAGUGGCGAACGGGUGAGUAAAAUAUCGGAACGUAUCCUGUAGAGGGGGAUAGCCCGGCGAAAGCCGGAUUAAUACCGCAUAUGCUCAAAAGAGGAAGGCGGGGGACCGGAUGGGUGACCAUUGGGCCUCGCGCUAGAGGGGCGGCCGAUGUCGGAUUAUGCUAGUUGGUGGGGUAAGGGCCUACCAAGGCGGUGAUCCGUAGCGGGUCUGAGAGGAUGAUCCGCCACACUGGGACUGAGACACGGCCCAGACUCCUACGGGAGGCAGCAGUGGGGAAUUUUGGACAAUGGGGGCAACCCUGAUCCAGCAAUGCCGCGUGUGU
Molecule: ribosomal RNA, 336 nt
Filed under: Candidatus Glomeribacter gigasporarum
Lineage: Bacteria; Pseudomonadati; Pseudomonadota; Betaproteobacteria; Burkholderiales; Burkholderiaceae
Description: bacterial SSU rRNA
Rfam family: Bacterial small subunit ribosomal RNA
Source: RNAcentral